GUCGUGGCAGAAGAAGCCUUGCACGUUCACGGUGAACGUGUCCGUGUACUCGAAGUAGUACGCCAGCAUCACCGUCCCUGCCAUGAUCACCAUCUGGAAAUAGAGCAUGCUGCUGGUUGUGACUGCAGGAUGAGGAGCAGGUACCUCGGGGGACAGUGCUCUCCAUUCCCUUGAGGCUGGGCACAGAUGUGUCUCAUGCUUUGCUCAAAGCCUUGUGAGGGUAGACUGGGCAGGACACUUCCAGCUGGAAGCCUUUGGAAGACCGAGUUGGUUCCCCUCGACAUGAAACCACGUUGGCUUAUACCCCCACCAAGCAAAGACAAGGAGCAGAGCUCACCACCGAUAUGAGAUGAAUAUGUUGCAGGGGCAAAGGAAGCCAAAACAAACCGAAAAACCCAAACCUUUUGUUGCUGAAAGCCACUGAGAUUUUAAAGAUUCUUUUCUGCAGCAAAUUUUAGUCCUGAAUAAAUACUCAGUGUAGGUUCACACGUGAGAACUACACAGUGGUAUUUUCCUAUAUAAUUUACUCUCAUUCCCAGUUAUGAUUUAAUCUUGGGAAAGAUUAUGAACAGUAGUAUGUGAUGGUCAUGCUGGUUCUGCCUGUAUCUGGCCUCAGGAAAGAAAUUUAGACCAUCAACCUCAAAAUGAUACAUUUUGCUGAGAAAAGGGGACUAGCGGAGAGCAGAGAGGAAGAAGAUGAGAAGUGCGUUUGGUUUGGAAGAGGUUUACAUCAGAAAAGAAUGCCUGUCACCUUGUCACUGCUGUGACUUCUGCAUGCCACUGGGUGUGGCAAAAAAAAUAGAGAGUCCGAGCCUAAGACUUGACAGCACACAAUGUCCAUACCGUUGUCUCUUUUUCAGCAGAUGGGGAAAAGGAGUUACUGUAUCAAUAUGCAAUGCAAUAAAUCUGACUGUCUUCAGAGCAGAGGACACAUUGUUCUUUGAGUACCAACCGCACAGCUUUAAUUAGUGCUGUGGAGUCUAAGAGGGAGGACUGAACCAAGAAUCCGGAUCUCUAGGGUCCUCUCCCUCUAAGCAUGGUCUAUGAAACACAGAUUUCAUAUUCAUAUAUUUUUCCUUUUACAGCCGCACCUGUGGCAUGUGGAAGUUCCUAGGCUAAGGGUCAAAUAGGAGCUGCAGCUGCCAGCUUACACUACAGCAACAUCUGCAAC
Long non-coding RNA from Sus scrofa (pig), 1171 nucleotides. RefSeq lists it as uncharacterized. Lineage: Eukaryota; Metazoa; Chordata; Mammalia; Artiodactyla; Suidae. The record is from RefSeq and is a predicted model, not a curated record.